This 255-nucleotide ribosomal RNA is filed under the name uncultured bacterium. RNAcentral's name for it is "partial 16S ribosomal RNA". It matches the Rfam family "Bacterial small subunit ribosomal RNA", at positions 524 to 776 of the family's 1533-position model. The record is from RNAcentral.
UACGAAGGGGGCUAGCGUUGCUCGGAAUCACUGGGCGUAAAGGGUGCGUAGGCGGGUCUUUUAAGUCAGGGGUGAAAUCCUGGAGCUCAACUCCAGAACUGCCUUUGAUACUGAAGAUCUUGAGUUCGGGAGAGGUUGAGUGGAACUGCGAGUGUAGAGGUGAAAUUCGUAGAUAUUCGCAAGAACACCAGUGGCGAAGGCGGCUCACUGGCCCGAUACUGACGCUGAGGCACGAAAGCGUGGGGAGCAAACAGG